Molecule: ribosomal RNA, 301 nt
Filed under: uncultured bacterium
Lineage: Bacteria
Description: partial 16S ribosomal RNA
Rfam family: Bacterial small subunit ribosomal RNA
Source: RNAcentral
CAGCAGCCGCGGUAAUACGUAGGUGGCAAGCGUUGUCCGGAAUUAUUGGGCGUAAAGGGCUCGCAGGCGGUUUCUUAAGUCUGAUGUGAAAGCCCCCGGCUCAACCGGGGAGGGUCAUUGGAAACUGGGAAACUUGAGUUCAGAAGAGGAGAGUGGAAUUCCACGUGUAGCGGUGAAAUGCGUAGAGAUGUGGAGGAACACCAGUGGCGAAGGCGACUCUCUGGUCUGUAACUGACGCUGAGGAGCGAAAGCGUGGGGAGCGAACAGGAUUAGAGACCCGCGUAGUCCCUGUCUCUUAUAC